This 1493-nucleotide ribosomal RNA is filed under the name uncultured bacterium. RNAcentral describes it as "16S ribosomal RNA". It matches the Rfam family "Bacterial small subunit ribosomal RNA". The record is from RNAcentral.
UAGAGUUUGAUCAUGGCUCAGGAUGAACGCUAGCGGCAGGCUUAACACAUGCAAGUCGAGGGGCAUCGGGAGGGAAGCUUGCUUUCCUUGCCGGCGACCGGCGCACGGGUGAGUAACACGUAUGCAACCUGCCCUCUUCAGGGGGACAACCUUCCGAAAGGGAGGCUAAUCCCGCGUAUAUCGGUUUCGGGCAUCCGGGAUCGAGGAAAGAUUCAUCGGAAGAGGAUGGGCAUGCGGCGCAUUAGCUGGACGGCGGGGUAACGGCCCACCGUGGCGACGAUGCGUAGGGGUUCUGAGAGGAAGGUCCCCCACACUGGUACUGAGACACGGACCAGACUCCUACGGGAGGCAGCAGUGAGGAAUAUUGGUCAAUGGGAGAGAUCCUGAACCAGCCAAGCCGCGUGAGGGAAGACGGCCCUAUGGGUUGUAAACCUCUUUUGUCGGAGAACAAAACCCGGGACGUGUCCCGGACUGCGUGUAUCCGAAGAAAAAGCAUCGGCUAACUCCGUGCCAGCAGCCGCGGUAAUACGGAGGAUGCGAGCGUUAUCCGGAUUUAUUGGGUUUAAAGGGUGCGUAGGCGGUCCGUUAAGUCAGCGGUAAAAUUGCGGGGCUCAACCCCGUCGAGCCGUUGAAACUGGCAGACUUGAGUUGGCGAGAAGUACGCGGAAUGCGCGGUGUAGCGGUGAAAUGCAUAGAUAUCGCGCAGAACUCCGAUUGCGAAGGCAGCGUACCGGCGCCAGACUGACGCUGAGGCACGAAAGCGUGGGGAUCGAACAGGAUUAGAUACCCUGGUAGUCCACGCAGUAAACGAUGAAUGCUAGGUGUCCGGGGCUUUGUGUCCUGGGUGCCACAGCGAAAGCGUUAAGCAUUCCACCUGGGGAGUACGCCGGCAACGGUGAAACUCAAAGGAAUUGACGGGGGCCCGCACAAGCGGAGGAACAUGUGGUUUAAUUCGAUGAUACGCGAGGAACCUUACCCGGGCUCAAACGCAGGGAGACUGCAAUCGAAAGGUUGCUUUCCACGGACUGCCUGCGAGGUGCUGCAUGGUUGUCGUCAGCUCGUGCCGUGAGGUGUCGGCUUAAGUGCCAUAACGAGCGCAACCCCUGCCGCCAGUUGCUAACGCGAAAGGCGAGGACUCUGGCGGGACUGCCGGCGCAAGCCGCGAGGAAGGCGGGGAUGACGUCAAAUCAGCACGGCCCUUACGUCCGGGGCGACACACGUGUUACAAUGGCAGGUACAGAGAGAAGCAAUGCGGCGACGCAAAGCGGAACUUGAAAGCCUGUCUCAGUUCGGAUUGGAGUCUGCAACUCGACUCCAUGAAGCUGGAUUCGCUAGUAAUCGCGCAUCAGCCAUGGCGCGGUGAAUACGUUCCCGGGCCUUGUACACACCGCCCGUCAAGCCAUGGAAGCCGGGAGUGCCUGAAGUGUGCAACCGCAAGGAGCGCCCUAAGGUAAAACUGGUGACUGGGGCUAAGUCGUAACAAGGUAACCGUA